GGAGGCAAGCCACUACUGCAGCUGGAUCUGGAUGUAUAGCUGCUUUGUCAGUUGAAAGAUACUUAGUCUCCAGUGAUCUUCUUAUUGAAUUCCACCAGCCUGUUCGCGAAGAGAAAAAGAAGGAGAUUGAAGGCAAAGAUGUUGAGAUGGGCUUUGACAUUACUCACACAAAGCACAAGGGACAGUAUGCACUCCGCAAGUUAUACCAUGGAAGCCCAAGGCUCAUUUUGGUUCUAUAUACUUCUCCAACAUGUGGUCCCUCUAGAACAUUAAAACCAA
Molecule: long non-coding RNA, 279 nt
Organism: Hordeum vulgare subsp. vulgare (domesticated barley)
Lineage: Eukaryota; Viridiplantae; Streptophyta; Magnoliopsida; Poales; Poaceae
Exons: 3
Source: RefSeq, a predicted model, not a curated record